GAAAUGCGAUAAGUAGUGUGAAUUGCAGACUUUAGUGAAUCAUCGAAUCUUUGAACGCACAUUGCGCCCCUUGGUAUUCCAUUGGGCAUGCCUGUUCGAGCGUCAUUUACACCCUCAAGCUCCGCUUGGUGUUGGGCGUCUGUCCCUGCUUUCUAGCGGGGACUCGCCCCAAAUUCAUUGGCAGCGGCAUCGCCGGCUUCUCGCGCAGCACAUUGCGCUCCAGAAGGCUCCCGGCGGGUUUGCGUCCAUUAAGAAACCACCCAGUUUGACCUCGAAUCAGGUAGGGAUACCCGCUGAACUUAA
Molecule: unclassified non-coding RNA, 303 nt
Filed under: uncultured Ascomycota
Lineage: Eukaryota; Fungi; Ascomycota
Description: sequence contains ITS1
Rfam family: 5.8S ribosomal RNA (bases 1-105)
Source: RNAcentral